ACGGGAGGCAGCAGUGAGGAAUAUUGGUCAAUGGGCGGGAGCCUGAACCAGCCAAGUAGCGUGGAGGAUGACGGCCCUACGGGUUGUAAACUCCUUUUGCCGGGGGAUAAAAAACGGGACGUGUCCCGUCUUGCAGGUACCAAUCGAAUAAGGAUCGGCUAACUCCGUGCCAGCAGCCGCGGUAAUGCGGAGGAUCCGAGCGUUAUCCGGAUUUAUUGGGUUUAAAGGGUGCGUAGGCGGGCUGUUAAGUCAGCGGUGAAACCCCCGGGCUCAACCCGGGGACUGCCAUUGAAACUGGCGGCCUAGAGUACGUUGGGAGUGCGCGGAAUGUGUGGUGUAGCGGUGAAAUGCAUAGAUAUCACACAGAACACCGAUCGCGAAGGCAGCGCACUACGCCGCAACUGACGCUGAGGCACGAAGGCGCGGGGAUCGAACAGGAUUAGAUACCCUGGUA
Molecule: ribosomal RNA, 454 nt
Filed under: uncultured Paludibacter sp.
Lineage: Bacteria; Pseudomonadati; Bacteroidota; Bacteroidia; Bacteroidales; Paludibacteraceae
Description: partial 16S ribosomal RNA
Rfam family: Bacterial small subunit ribosomal RNA
Source: RNAcentral